This 651-nucleotide long non-coding RNA is filed under the name Medicago truncatula (barrel medic). Its description in RNAcentral is "long non-coding RNA (MTRU_LNC007026)". The record is from RNAcentral. Lineage: Eukaryota; Viridiplantae; Streptophyta; Magnoliopsida; Fabales; Fabaceae.
UUGUUUAUAUUGUUCAUGAUUAUUAUUGUGCUCGUUUGGUUUUGGUUGCCAUCAAUUUAUUCAACGCAUCAAAGUAUUGGCGUGACUCUAAUGGAAUUCACAACAGUUGGCGACCAUCAUGGGGCAAUCAGAACAAACUAUUGAGAAUGCAUCGUGUGUAUUGAUCACAGAUCAUCUUACGCUAUUAUUAGCAUGCUUUUCAGUCAUUUUCAGUAGGUUUUACUAGCAAAACAGAGGAGUAUUAGAUCAAUUGUCUAUGAUUUCAUAACAUUUGUAUUGUUUUCUAUAUUUGAGUUUGUAAUUCUAUUCUUCCUGAAACAGCAAUUUUAGGGUGUUCUUGAUGUAAUUCACGAAGAAAUCAAGCAAAUCAGGCAAAGAAAGACAUCUGAAGAUUUAUGUGGUCCUCGGGAAGAUGAAGAAUGAAGAUUCAAGAGGCCUCAAAAGACUUCACAAAGGGAGGAAUUAUAUUCCCAAGUUCCAAAACAUCUUACAUUGAAGAAAACACCAUAAAAGGCAAAGAAAACAGGCAUUUCACCACCGAAAUGAAUCUAGAAGCGCACAGGUGCACCAGAAGGGGAGCUAGGCGCCCCGAGAUACUGCACUGAAGCGUUAGGCACAUGGUAGGGGGCUCUAGGCUCCUAGACCUGGCAG